Molecule: unclassified non-coding RNA, 6306 nt
Filed under: Harpegnathos saltator (Jerdon's jumping ant)
Lineage: Eukaryota; Metazoa; Arthropoda; Insecta; Hymenoptera; Formicidae
Description: uncharacterized LOC105182451, transcript variant X1
Source: RNAcentral
GUUGAACGUGUUGUACUUGCAACGAGCCCCUCCAACAUUGCUUUGUGUUAACAAUUGUGCGGAUACAAUCCGUUGCCGGCUGCACUUGAAUUUGCAUCGAUUGUGUAUCGACCGAGCUGGAUGGCGAGAUGCCCUCUAUGCACCUCCCGCGAAUAACACGAGCGAUUUGCACUCCUCUCAUUUCGCACGGAGUGCCGCGGUGAAAUUCAUUUAAUUUCGGUCACUUUUCGUUCGGUUUCCCCCCACCAAGUUGCCGCGUGUAUCGUGCGCGUAUUGUCUGGUAUCGUCUUGGAGCCUGGCGGAUACAAUCUCCUUUUGUGCGAAUUCGACCGCGACGUAAUCAGCGAUCACGCAAUUGCGCUUACGAGGCUGACCAGGUAUCUAGUUGCAGCUGGUGGUAUUUGUUAGGUUAGGACACGACCGCUAGAGGAUGCAUCGUUCUGGAAAAUCGCCCGGUGAAAGUGCGCGCCGUUGGGAAUUCCGACAAAGCGAAGGCCGGCGCCGCCACUACUCUCAAACGCCAUGAAGUGAGUGGCGUUCCAGGAAACGUCCCGUGAUAAGAUUCGCAAGAGGUAUCGACGGCGACGGCUUUUCCCUAGAGUACUGUAUAUUUCAUCAAACAAAUCAAUCACAGCUAUUAUGGCAGAGGACGAAGGUACUGAGUGGCUUCAGGAGUUGCUGCACGAUGUUCAACUUCCCCAGUUUUUCACGAGGAUCCGGGAUGAUCUGCAGGUCACUCGCUUACAUCACUUUGAUUAUGUUCAGCCUGAGGAUCUAGAAAAGAUUGGCCUUGGCAAGCCUGGCAUCAGGCGUCUAUUGGAUGUAGUCAAAAAGAGACGGAGCACCCAAUGGAAAAAAACUCUGAUCACUAAGAUCAGGCCUGGUGGCAGUACUAAAAGCAACAAGCGAUCCUCACAGCCCAUUGAGACUUCUUCAGUGCUGACGUGUCUGAUACAAGAGAAAGAUGUGACUUUAUCGAUCAAAUUAGGUGAUGGCAGCUUUGGUGUAGUUAGAAGAGGUGAAUGGACCUCUCCUUCCGGACGGGUUUUCCCUGUCGCUGUAAAAGUCCUCAAAGCAGAUGCUCUCACACAGCCAAAUGUUAUAGAAGACUUUGUGUCUGAGGUACAAGCGAUGCACACUCUGGAUCAUCAUAACCUUAUUCGAUUAUACGGUGUGGUAUUGUCGCAGCCAAUGAUGAUGGUGACCGAACUUGCACCGCUGGGUGCGUUACUCGAUUAUUUGCGUCAACAAUGCAGUAGAAUUUCAGUUCUCACACUCUGUAACUAUGCGUUACAAGUUGCCACAGGUAUGGCAUACCUAGAAGCGAAACGUUUUCUACAUCGCGACCUGGCGUGUAGAAACGUUCUGUUGAGCACAGUCGACAAAAUCAAAAUCGGAGAUUUUGGGUUGAUGAGAGCGCUUCCUCAGCAAGAAGAUUGUUACGUCAUGACUGAACAUAAGAAGGUGCCUUUCCCUUGGUGUGCGCCUGAAUCUCUCAAAGCUCGGCAGUUCAGCCAUGCGUCGGACGUGUGGAUGUUUGGUGUAACGUUGUGGGAAAUGCUGACCUUCGGGGAAGAACCUUGGUUAGGUUUGAACGGUUCCGAAAUAUUGCGGAAGAUCGACCGGGAAGGUGAGCGGCUUCACGAGCCGGAAGCGACGCCACCAUUUGUGUAUGAGUUGAUGCUUCGUUGCUGGUCGAGAGAACCUUCUGAGAGGCCGACAUUCGGAUCAUUGAAGGAAUCGUUGACCGGCAUGAUGCCGGCCGUGAUGAAGGCCGUUAAUGCCUUCGAGGAAGCCGGCAAGAUGUCUAUUGAGUCGGGCGAUCAGAUCGUCAUCAUCGAUGGACGUUCGGAAAACUAUUGGUGGAAAGGCCAAAACCAGCGAACUUUCCAAGUGGCGCAUUUCCCACGCUGCCUGGUGGAUCCGAUGCGCCGGAAACAACCGGAGGACAUCAGCAAACCAUUAGAGAAUUCAUUCAUCCACACAGGCCAUGGGGCGCCAUUCGGCAAGAGCUGGGGUAGUCCUUCGUUCAUUGAUGAUGUGUACCUGAGAAAUCCUAUGGAUCCUCCAGACAUAUUGGUAGCAACUUCAACAGCGGAGAACCAGUUGAAGAAGCGGUUCUCAUACGGUACGCAACGUGCUAGGAAGCAGUUCAAUUACACCAAACUACGCAACGAUGCUAGAUCGAGCCCUAUUAAGGUUUCUCAGACGGCAUCCACCUCGGCAAACAGCCAAGAAGGCUCUUUGAUUGAUUUGUCCGCCGAGGAGCUGGCGAAUACAAGCACCCUCGAGCAGGACGUCGCGUGUAGACGAGUGAUUAAUAUUCUGGACGAGCCGAUAGACGUCGAAAGAUUCCCCUGGCAGAAUGAAAAAGGCGCUAGGACGUACGCCAAUUUUCCCAACGUGGAUUCCGCGUACUCCGACCCCUUCGACACGUCCGCGGUGUUCAUGAAGCCUCCGCACUCGCGUUACUACAGUCAUGUGCCCGCCGAUACUAAUCGUUAUCUGCAGAGGCAGACGUACAGCAACGUGGACGGCCAAGAGGCUUCAGGCAGUCAAGGCGCUGCAAACUGUUUCGUCGCUAGUUCUAGCAGUGAGGAGAUCCGCCAGUACUCGAUGAAUUUGAACAAAGACAGUCAGCAAGACACGGUAAAUUUGAAUGUGAACGUGGAGAAUGAUGAGGGCGCAAGUCACUAUAGUGAGAUAGACAAGGCCAGUCCGAAUUGGUCUACGUGGCCGGAGGACCUACGGAACUCCGCCAGUGCACAGACGUAUGCCAACGUCUCUGUCAGCGGGGUUUCAUCGCUUUCGUCGCUCGUCACAGCUCCUACUCCACCUCCGCCUCCUUCCGUCGGUCCGAAUGCCAGUCCGCCGAAGCCGAAGUCCAAUUGCGAGCUCGCACAGAAUAUGAACGAACUGUCAUUGAGCUCUAAGUCUGGUGCUAUUAACGUCACGAAGAAACUGGACCCGGUCUUCUUGGCUGAGCUGGAGAAACAUCUGGGCGAGAAAGAGGCGAGCAAGAACACAAAUGCUAGCGGAGAAAGCCAGGAAGAAGCAUCCUGCGCGAAUUAUCUUCGCUACUCGUCACUGGACAAGUUGCGGCAAGGAUCACCAGCUCAGCUUUCACCAACAACGACGGAGGACACCGCCAGGUCGUCUUCUUCGUCGGUGAUACCAGCGCUGAAGCCUCCGCCGCAAGUUUCGAAACCGAAGUCGCCGGUGGCGAUGAUGGAUCAUCGAGGAGCGUCCUCCUCGACGUCGACCUUACCUAGCAAGGUACAGAAUUCCCGGCAGCCGAAAAGCACGAACGUCCAACGACCACCCGUCCAGCAAAGUGAUCAACGCGUAGAAUCGACCACCGAUGCGAUAGUAGGACAAAUCUGGCAACAGACGCAGAUUUUGUCUCAACAGAAUGUUUGCCCAACUGAUUUAGGUGCUGGUCGUCAAAUGUUGACGCCCGUUGCGGCUCAGGCGAGCAUGAAUCUGCUGCAAGAAGCCAGCGAUCCUUCUAGUAAUAGUGCCAAUGAAAUUCGACAUGGUCCUUGCAAUGUUGCCAAGGCCACGUUCAAUCAGGCGCAAGCUUGCUCGUCGAGCACUCCGAAUUACCUCUCUACAAAUUUAAGUUCGUCGAGCGCUGGUCAAGAUAACUUCAACCUGUUGCAGAUUGUCACCGGUAACAUUUCUGCUAACAGUACAAAUGAAUCUCAGUACGGCAAUACAGCCAAUGUUUCCAAAGCCAACUUCAAUCCUAUACAAGUCUGUUCGUCGACCAGCCAAAAUUAUCUUCAUAACCCAUCGACAAACAUCGGCAGUUUUAACCUGCUUCAAACCACCGCCAAUCAAGUUCCCGCCGCGACAUUGAUCGAGUCUCAAUAUGGACCUUCCAAUAUUUCCAAAGCUUCUUCCAACCAGGCGCAAGCUUGCUCUUCGUUAAGUCACAACUAUUUGACAAAUGCUUCGACGACUGUUAAUCAGAGUAGCGGCUUUACUGCGCAUCAAAACUAUCCUCAGAAUGCAUCAUUGUCGUCUAACGUGAGCAACACUCAUGGGAUUACCCAUAUACAAAACGAUUUGCAGCAACAACAACAUGCAAAGUCUACUGGACUCCUGUACGAACAAGUAUACGCCGAGUUGAAGCAAAACGUACCUAAUUUAGAUCAACUGUCCCAAAACGAAUUCAAUACUCUCUACAACAAGACUGUGCAGCAGAACAUUCUCCGGAACUACUAUUCCAAUAAUCUAUGUAACGACCAGAGCCAAAGUCACGCUCAAGAAACGGCUAGCGGCCAACAGCAGAAGACUAUCGGCAGGAGUCAGCAAUCUGUUCAAGGACACUUUUGUGACUUCAGUCCUUAUCUGAAACAGCCACCAGUUUACAAUCCUCCACCUCGUUUGACGUUGAGUCCACUCAAAUCCGGUCAGAAUGGUUACAUACAGAAUCACUGUCCUACAGCAAAGUGCAACCUGAUCAGUGGGCAGCCCAAUUUAUUGCAAGUCGACACGCUAACGAGGAGUACGUCUGUACCGAUAACGACGAGCGAUGCUGCCAAGGUGAACUUGCAGGUGGUCAAUCAGCAUCAGCAGCACCCAGUCGGCACCAGUCCGCCACUCACCGCAGCCUCGCAGCAACUGGUGAUGUCGUUGAACGACGAAUUUAGGGCGAGCAGAGUCAUGAGGGUGCAGAGAGAAGCUGCGGAUGCUUCGCAGCAAGAGGUGCUAGCCGCAUUACAGGCGACCGGCUGGGACACGAAUCAAGCGGCCAAGCAGAUUAUGAGGGAUAGACAGGCGAAGGUCGAGAGUCUCGUGAGACUGGGCUUGGCUAGUCGACAACAGUGUGAAAGCGCUUUGAAGCAGACUGAAUACGACGUAGAACUGGCGGCUUCGUUAUUGCUCGAUCAGUCCAGAUGAGGAACAGCCGUGAUGAAUUCCACGUCCUAAGACUUCCUGUGACAUUAGCUAUAAAACUGCGGAAUGCGGAUAUGUAUGAUUUAUUUAUGAACAAUGGAACGCAACAAACGGAAGCCAUUUCGCUCGUAUGAGUGAAGCUCUGCCAGUAAUCAUUCGUUAAUGAUAAAUCGCUUCUUCGGCGAACUUUGCAUUCCAAUCUUCAUUACAAUUUAGCACUAAUAAUAAAUCAAUAUCCGCUAUUUAAAUAAGAAUAAAGCAGCUGUUAUACGCAUAAUAAUCUAUAGGCGAUAUUGGUGAGGAGAUAUUGUCAGUGUUACAUCACUUGUAAGACAUAAUUAACGUAAAUCUGAAACUGUGAUAUGUGAUAUGUUGAUCUCUAUCUGGAUUUACGAUUACGAUCCUAUUAAUGGAUUUUGUUAGCACUGUUGCGAUAAAAAAGCAACAAAUUAUUUAUGAAGAAGGAUAGUAGUACGAACAAAAAGAAAUUUUGAGAUUAAUAAGUAAUAUAUAUAUAGCGGAUAUUUGCGAUAUAAUGUGAUAUACCAGUAUGUAUAAACACAUAUAUCGCAUAUGAUAUAAAUAGAUUUUAUGUAUGUACGUAUGUACGUAUACAAUGUAUAUGUACCGUGCAAAAAUAUAAAAUUCCCAAAAACUUAGAAUUCAAGCAUCUUCGAUCGUGAAAGUGCAAGAGAAGAUCAAGAGAGUUAAAGAGUUAAAAAUUCUAAAAACAUAAUUGAAGAAACCAAGAAUUUCAUAAUAUGAAAAUUAAAAGUUACUACUAAUUCGAAGUUACAGAAUUUAAGAGUAUACAAAGAUCUAAAACGCCUAGGAUCUAAGGGUUUCUUAGAACUGAAAAUUUAAUGCUUUAAAUGCGAUAGGAAUAUAUUUAAAAAUCCAAGGUUAUAUAAGACUAUACGAGCCAGAGACGAAAAAUAGUUAAAUAGUUAUUGUCAUUAAUGAUGAAUGAAACUAUAUCGAACAAUGUGUGAGAAAAAAGGCCACACAAGUGUGAUGUCACCGUAAGUCCAGAGCGCCUUGUUUGAACGAACAAAUAAUAUUGAUAAAUAAAAAACCAGUGGAGUUGUUGAUCUGUGUGCACACUUGAAAGAACAUGCGGAACAUAAUGAUAACACCUGAUUUCACGGUACCUGAGUCCUUGGUCCAAAUCGAAGUCUCCUGAACCUGCUAGUCUUGAAAGUGGAGCGCCGCAUCUCCGCGGCAGCGGUAGCAGUGCCUGAACGGGUCGCUUCGGUUCCGCUCGACGCAUCAUCCGUCAUGGGAUUCAAAAUGUAAUGAUUAAAGUACAUAGAUUCGCGCGCAGACGUGAAAGUCUCUUGGAGGUUUCACCGGGAGAAGAGGAGCGCAGCGUGGAAAAAGGUUUCGGCGGCCGCAGAAGCG